Molecule: ribosomal RNA, 450 nt
Filed under: uncultured bacterium
Lineage: Bacteria
Description: partial 16S ribosomal RNA
Rfam family: Bacterial small subunit ribosomal RNA
Source: RNAcentral
GUGAGGAAUAUUGCGCAAUGGGCGAAAGCCUGACGCAGCGACGCCGCGUGGAGGAUGAAGGUCUUCGGAUUGUAAACUUCUGUUAAGUGGGAAGAAAGGGCUGUUUUUAAUAGAAGCAGUUAAUGACGGUACCAUUAAAGAAAGCACCGGCUAAACUCGUGCCAGCAGCCGCGGUAAUACGAGUGGUGCAAGCGUUAUUCGGAAUAAUUGGGCGUACAGGGUGUGUAGGCGGUAUGUUAAGUCUGUUGUUAAAGACUCCGGCCUAACCGGAGACAGGCAGCGGAAACUGGCGUACUAGAGGGUGGAAGAGAGAAGUGGAAUUCUCGGUGUAGCGGUAAAAUGCGUAGAUAUCGAGAGGAACACCGAUGGCGAAGGCAGCUUCUUGGUCCAUACCUGACGCUGAAACACGAAAGCGUGGGGAGCAAACAGGAUUAGAAACCCCAGUAGUCC